Long non-coding RNA from Cavia porcellus (domestic guinea pig), 499 nucleotides. RefSeq lists it as uncharacterized. NCBI's taxonomy places the organism in Eukaryota, Metazoa, Chordata, Mammalia, Rodentia, Caviidae. The transcript has 3 exons. The record is from RefSeq and is a predicted model, not a curated record.
AUGAAGAAAUAAACUACAGAAAGAGAGACAUUUUGCCUGUUACUCCCUGACAGCUAACAUGUAAAACCAAUAGGAACAUGAAAGGAACACACAUUUUUCAGAUACCUGAAGAACUAUUAAGCAUUUUUGCACAACAGAGAAAUGCAAAUAGGGACAUCUCAUUGCAGAGAAAACAAAUCACCACAAGGUCUAAAGAACAUUCAUGGGACUACAGGAGAAAAGGAACUAUUUAAUCUUGUUGGUGAAAAUGUAGAAAAUUAAAAAAAGAAAACACAAUCAGGAAUGUUGGUGCACAUCUGUCAUUCCAGGACUCCGAAGGCUGAGGCAGGAAGAUUCUGGAAAAUGGCACUGAUAUUUUGACAGGAAUGGCACUGAAACACCUGGUUGCUCUGGGUAGCCUGUACAUUAUAACAUGAAUUCUUCCCAUCCCUCAUCACAGUAUGGCUUUUCUUCUGUUAGUGCUCUUCUACUCAUUUAAUUAAUUUCUACAAUUUUCCAA